This 497-nucleotide ribosomal RNA is filed under the name uncultured bacterium. Its description in RNAcentral is "partial 16S ribosomal RNA". It matches the Rfam family "Bacterial small subunit ribosomal RNA", at positions 28 to 507 of the family's 1533-position model. The record is from RNAcentral.
GAUGAACGCUGGCGGCGUGCCUAAUACAUGCAAGUCGAGCGAACGGACGAGAAGCUUGCUUUUCUGAUGUUAGCGGCGGACGGGUGAGUAACACGUGGAUAACCUACCUAUAAGACUGGGAUAACUUCGGGAAACCGGAGCUAAUACCGGAUAAUAUUUUGAACCGCAUGGUUCAAAAGUGAAAGACGGUCUUGCUGUCACUUAUAGAUGGAUCCGCGCUGCAUUAGCUAGUUGGUAAGGUAACGGCUUACCAAGGCAACGAGGCAUAGCCGACCUGAGAGGGGGAGCCGCCACAAGAGAGCGAAGGCACAGUCCAGACUCGUGAGAGAGGCAAGAGUAGGGAGGGUGGCAGAAGGGGCGAAAACUUGACGAAGCAACGCAGCGUGAGGGAUGGAGGUAUUCGGAUCGAAGAACUCUGUUAGGAGGGAAGAAGAUUUGUGUAGGUAACUGUGCACAGCGUGACGGUACCUGAACAGAAAGCCACGGCUAACUACGUG